Molecule: transfer RNA, 73 nt
Filed under: Mus musculus (house mouse)
Lineage: Eukaryota; Metazoa; Chordata; Mammalia; Rodentia; Muridae
Also listed under: 1 other name
Rfam family: tRNA
About the family: Transfer RNA (tRNA) molecules are approximately 80 nucleotides in length. Their secondary structure includes four short double-helical elements and three loops (D, anti-codon, and T loops).
Source: Rfam by way of RNAcentral
GUAACAGUGGCUCAGCGGGUAAGAGCCCUGGCUGCUCUUCCAGAGGACCUGGGUUCAAUCCCCAGCACCCACA